UAAGCAAUUCAUUUUAAUUGUAUUGUGUGCACUACCAUUAUGUUAUCUUUGCAUGCUAUAAACAAACAUCCAUAAAGUACUGGCAAAAAUAAUCGAUUCAAGCAAACGGCCUGAAUUCAGAAGGCUAGGGAAAUUUUGCCCACAAUUCAAAAUAUCAUUAAUUGCACAAAAACUUACAAGAAGCUUAUUUCAUAACAUAACAAUAAUAAACUUAACGAAAGGGGAUACAGAACACAAUAUGAAACUAAAUAUGUAUGGUUGAAUAAAGAAAUUAAAACACACACACACACACAUAUAUAUAUACUGUAUUUGUAUUGGAAACUGAUAAACAUAUAUUUUUAUUACUGACGCCAUUUCUGGAAGCACGUUUUUGUUUGUGUUUCAACAAACAGUUUCCUUUUCUAAAAAUAAUACACCAACACGCACUCGUUUAAGCCCCAUAAGUAUGUCUUGUGUUUUAAAAUGUGAAAAAAUGAAAUCACCGUAUAACUAAUUCCAUUUAUUUGACUCUUUCGUAUUCCAUUGUGACCCAACUUCCGGUUUUGUUGCUGUGGACGGUCGGUGAAGGAAAGUCAAGAAAGGAAGAUAAAAACAAAACAGCAAGAGAAAGAAAAGAAGGAAGCGAUUCAAAAUAACAAUUAAAUAAGUUACAUACCGCAGGAAACGCAAUUUUAUAGCGAUUUAGCAACAUUAUAUUGGUGUUUGCAUUUAUUUAUUUUAAGAAAAGCUAGGUAGACAAGGUGUGUAUAUAUUAAAGGCAUUAUACCCGAACAGAGGAUGUUUCGCUAUUUACGCGACAUGGAUGAAAACCCUUAUAUGUUGGAUCCCUUUGCGACACACAGGCAGCAGAUGAGAAGCAUGUUUGGGGCAUUUGGGUUUGACCCAUUCCUGGGGAUCACAGAUGGAAGGACUGUGAGCGCUCCAAUUCAGCCAGCCAGAAGACCCCAAAUCCAGGCUGGAGCUCUCUCACCUUUUGGAAUGAUGGGAAUGGGCGGGGGUGGCGGGUUCAUGGACAUGUUUGGGAUGAUGAGCAGCAUGAUGGAAAACAUGUACCACCUCCCCACAGCAGAUAGCAGUCAUUACCACAUCCCAACAGCAGAUGGCAGUGAGAGGAUGGCUGGCUCUCCGAACUGCCAGACCUUCUCCUCCUCGACGAUGAUCUCCUACUCCAGCAGUGGCAGCGGCGCGCCAAAAGUGUACCAGCAGACCUCCGAGAUCCGAUCAGCACCCGGGGGGAUCCGCGAAACCAGACAGACGAUGCGAGACUCAGAGAGCGGUCUGGAGCGCAUGUCCAUCGGGCACCACAUCCGAGAGAGGGGCCACGUGAUGGAACGAUCGAGGAACAGGAAGACUGGGGACCGUGAAGAGAGGCAGGACUUCAUUAACCUGGAGGAGAGCGAAGCAGCUGCGUUUGAUGAAGAGUGGAGGGGUGCAGCCUCGCGCUACCCCCCCCCUGGGGCCCGCUCCCUGGACUACCAGCGGGAGCGCAGUGCGGGGGGAGGGGGGCGCCUGGCCCUCACUGCCCUCCCCAGCCAGCAGGAUGAUGACAGACAGCCCUCCUCCCGCCGCUAUGACUGGUGAGAUGCGUGCAGCACACACAACCCCACGGUACACAGAAUUGAGCCCCUUCCUCCCUCCUCUCUGACAGUGUUGAGAGUGAAUUUGCUGAGGACUAAGAGAUCAGAUGCUGCAUUGUUGUUUGGAAACCAUUCAUCUGAUACAUGAAUCAGUUUGCAGUCACCAACAUGAUUUAUUAUUGAUAUUAAUAGUACUAAAACAUUUUUCCUUCUACUAUUGCAUUUAUAUUUUGUGCCUUUUUUUUUUUCUUUUUGCUGUUUUUUCAGACAGCCUUUUCAAGAAAAGUCCAAUCUGUCUUUCUCCAGGAUUCAACUGGUUAUAUUGUCUUACUUCAGCUCAUGUUUCAUUUCUUGCUUGUUUAUUAUUAUUCUUCAUGUACUGUCUGAUCUAGGUUUAUGCUCAGGUCAUUCUUUUCCAAAUUUACUAACAAUUCCAGUUUUGUGGGGAAGCAUAUAGGCGUUGGACAGGCUUAGUGUGCAGCGCAACACUGAAAUACUUCCCCUGACUUUCUCUGCAGCCCUGGCGAGUCUCUUCAGAAGCAUUUAGCUGGAAUAGAUAGUAAGCCUAGCUACUAACUAUCUGAGUAGAAACAGCAUCAGAGAAUCAAAGAGAACAGACAGGGCCCACACAGCAGGAUAUUACAGGGAUUUACUUAACAUAAAGACAUUAAUUUAAAUUUAAUUUUUAAAGGGCAGAGUAGUUGUGUAGAAGUGCUAGAGAGACAUCAACUGCAAUGUGGCAGAGUUGUGAAAGCUGUGAGUGAACCUGGACAUACAGCUCCAGCACAGCAGGGGAUUGUGAUGUCACAGUGCUGUGAGUGAACCUGGACAUGCAGCUCCAGCACUGCAGGGGAUUGUGAUGUCACAGUGCUGUGAGUGAACCUGGGGUGCGUUCAACUAGACGAACGUUUGCAAACUUGUUUGUGUUUGUGGUCUGUUCAUCGGAAACGUUUGACAACGGUGGCGAACACUCUAAAGAGGCAGUUUAAUGUGAACAAAAAUAGCUACUGGAUGAGAGAACAUUUCUUUGACUCUGCGAUGGACAAGUUUUGUCAAUGUAUGACAAAGCAAGAAGCAGAAAGAGUUACAUCAGAUAUUGUAACGUUUUCUGGGUCGGGUUCUUUGUAAGGCAAGGUUUACACAUAAAGCCACACAACACAAGUCCAAGUAAAGGUUUUAAAACCUGUUUAUUAUUUUCAGGCUUUGACAGCGUUCUUGAUAAAUAAAAAUCAAAACAACCAAAGUAAAUAAUCCGCUGCCAGUGGGAGGUCCUUCAAGCGUUGUCUUUUCAAGCCGGGGUUUGUUACCGAAGGUCGUUUUCAUACAGAAGUAAUUGAUUGAAACAGCGUGUUUAAUAAUUCCAACAUGCCUACGUUCCCUGCUGAAAUCCUGGCUGCUGAAACUCCUUGUGCCUACGCUGUGAUACACGCUGUCCUCGUAGUCGCUCCACUGUGCUCUGAGACAUGGAGUGAAGCGGUCCACCGUUCGGGCUAGUGUAACUCAUGAGAGAGGAAGGAAUUAAACACUAAGCUGUUUUGUAACCAAGAUUUGAGCUUUAGAAUCGGCUGGAAUUCGUUGAAUGAAUAAGACAUUUGAGUCGGUUUUCCUCUACAGAAGUUGCGUGGUGUUGUAAAGAGCUGUGCCAUUCGUUAGCUAUUUAAGAAAAGUAGUGAAAUGUAACAUUUUGUAAAAGCAUUACUUUUUAUUUUUUUUGGAAUGGCUAUUUUAUAAUUUGUAGAUUUCAAGUGGUGGAUUUUUAUUUUUUGUAUAAUUUGGGGGAGGGGGGCAGGGUGAGUUAUUUAUUUAGGGGGGCCGAGGGGAGGAGUCUUUUAAUUAGAAAGUAAUGGAAUAGGGCUUUUGUUAUUGUAACCAUAAACAGUUGGAAUUUAUUAAUCUAUGUUGAAGUAAUAAAUUAUAAUAAAAACAAACUAGAAAAUUCUGUGAUACACACAAACUUUGUAAUAAAUUCAAUUUGAGAACGGUG
RNA transcript from Polyodon spathula (Mississippi paddlefish), 3561 nucleotides. It is a transcript of the gene named myeloid leukemia factor 2-like, with no coding region annotated. NCBI's taxonomy places the organism in Eukaryota, Metazoa, Chordata, Actinopteri, Acipenseriformes, Polyodontidae. The record is from RefSeq and is a predicted model, not a curated record. The transcript is spliced from 11 exons.